RNAcentral lists this long non-coding RNA (633 nucleotides) under Pogona vitticeps (central bearded dragon). Its description in RNAcentral is "lncRNA (ENSPVIG00000019527.1)". Lineage: Eukaryota; Metazoa; Chordata; Lepidosauria; Squamata; Agamidae. The record is from RNAcentral.
CAAAGCCCAAGCUGCCCAAGAUCUUCAGAUUUGUGCCUGUUCUACAUGUUAGGCAUUUUUGAAUAAUACUCACAAUCUGUAGUUUUUAUCAGCACUUAUACUUUCAAAAAAUCUCUCACACACACUGCUGCACAAGUAAUUUUAAUGGGGCAAUCUAACUGAUUGAAAAUAGCAACUUUACUUUUAUAUUUCUCUGUUUUCCAAGGUUCUGUCAAAACUCAACCUCACACCUGAGAAGAGCUCAAGAAAGCAGGUCCAUUAGAAUUUGGUUUUAUUAAAGAGGAAGACCUCACAAAGAUUCCCCACCAACCCCUUACCAGGAAAACUAGAUGCAAGAAAUGAAAACACCUGCAGAAAAUCCCAGAAGGCUUUGCUAUGCUCCUGGUACAUGUUCUCUUGUCUCUGGCAGAAGUGGGCAACUUAGCCACAAAGGAUGGGAGGCAGAGAACAACACAUCCUCCCUCACACAAGAGAAGGACAGUGGUCACAGAGCCCCUGUCACCCCUCUCUUGCAUGCCCACCCUAUUUCUCUGGUGUCUUCCACAAUAUCUUGGGCAGGGAACAUCUAUAACACGGGGUGAGUAGUUAACAGCAAAAUGUCCUCUGUCUCUGUGCGUAUUGAUUAGUUUUUGU